AUUGAACGCUGGCGGCAUGCCUUACACAUGCAAGUCGAACGGUAACAGGUCUUCGGAUGCUGACGAGUGGCGAACGGGUGAGUAAUACAUCGGAACGUGCCCAGACGUGGGGGAUAACGAGGCGAAAGCUUUGCUAAUACCGCAUACGAUCUAAGGAUGAAAGCAGGGGACCGCAAGGCCUUGCGCGUUUGGAGCGGCCGAUGGCCGAUUAGGUAGUUGGUGGGAUAAAAGCUUACCAAGCCGACGAUCUGUAGCUGGUCUGAGAGGACGACCAGCCACACUGGGACUGAGACACGGCCCAGACUCCUACGGGAGGCAGCAGUGGGGAAUUGUGGACAAUGGGCGAAAGCCUGAUCCAGCAAUGCCGCGUGCAGGAUGAAGGCCUUCGGGUUGUAAACUGCUUUUGUACGGAACGAAAAGGCUCUGGCUAAUACCUGGGGCACAUGACGGUACCGGAAGAAUAAGCACCGGCUAACUACGUG
RNAcentral lists this ribosomal RNA (482 nucleotides) under uncultured bacterium. Its description in RNAcentral is "partial 16S ribosomal RNA". It matches the Rfam family "Bacterial small subunit ribosomal RNA", at positions 30 to 507 of the family's 1533-position model. The record is from RNAcentral.